CCUACGGGGGGCAGCAGUGGGGAAUUUUGGACAAUGGGCGCAAGCCUGAUCCAGCCAUGCCGCGUGCGGGAAGAAGGCCUUCGGGUUGUAAACCGCUUUUGUCAGGGAAGAAAUCCUUUGAGCUAAUACCUCGGGGGGAUGACGGUACCUGAAGAAUAAGCACCGGCUAACUACGUGCCAGCAGCCGCGGUAAUACGUAGGGUGCGAGCGUUAAUCGGAAUUACUGGGCGUAAAGCGUGCGCAGGCGGUCUUGCAAGACAGGUGUGAAAUCCCCGGGCUUAACCUGGGAACUGCACUUGUGACUGCAAGGCUGGAGUACGGCAGAGGGGGAUGGAAUUCCGCGUGUAGCAGUGAAAUGCGUAGAUAUGCGGAGGAACACCGAUGGCGAAGGCAAUCCCCUGGGCCUGUACUGACGCUCAUGCACGAAAGCGUGGGGAGCAAACAGGAUUAGAUACCCUGGUAGUCCACGCCCUAAACGAUGUCAACUGGUUGUUGGACGGCUUGCUGUUCAGUAACGAAGCUAACGCGUGAAGUUGACCGCCUGGGGAGGACGGCGCGAGUAGAACGACAANAGAGUGACGGCGUGAGACGUGCCGACGGACGACGACGAGGGAGGUUAGGG
This 622-nucleotide ribosomal RNA is filed under the name uncultured bacterium. RNAcentral's name for it is "bacterial SSU rRNA". The stretch from base 1 to 542 matches the Rfam family "Bacterial small subunit ribosomal RNA", at positions 338 to 873 of the family's 1533-position model. The record is from RNAcentral.